RNAcentral lists this long non-coding RNA (536 nucleotides) under Zostera marina. Its description in RNAcentral is "long non-coding RNA (ZMAR_LNC004038)". The record is from RNAcentral. Lineage: Eukaryota; Viridiplantae; Streptophyta; Magnoliopsida; Alismatales; Zosteraceae.
UGUGAAGAUCGAUUUGUGAAGGAGAGGGAUUUAGCAAAGGAUGGGAGUGGAAAUCGAUGUUUGAAGGAUUGGAAUUGCUGAAUUAGGGAUUCACCUUACAGAUCUGCACCACCCAUUUACCCAAAAACAACUAACCACGCUCGCAGCAGAUCUGCACUCGCAAACCCUAGCUCCGCCUACGGACACUCGCAAACCCUAGUCUGCAGACGUGCACAGACGGAUGGAGCUUCUGUAAAUCAGGUUAGAAAUCCCGAUUUACCCAAAAGAAAUCGGCUAGUUUAAAAAAAGAUCGAAGGCUAUGAAUUUAAGAUCGAGCUUACUUGUUUGAUGUCUGAAUUGAUUCUUAUUUCUGUCUGAAUCAUCAAACUACAGAAGAAAACAACGACGACGAAAACAAUCAGAAAAAAUGAGAAAGAAGAAGUCGUUGCAUCGGCACAUACUACAGCAUCUACACCAAGCAAGAAGAUCAAAAGCGGAUUCCGAUUUGGUACGCCGAUAGGGUUUUCCAAAAUUAAAGGGGAGAAGAAAAAAAGAAC